GGUCUCACUGAUUCCUCCUUCCUGAUGAACCUUAAUGCCAUUAAUUUGGUGUUUUGGGGAAUUUGGACUGUUACUUUGAAAAAAUUGAGUGUUUAAAGCAAGCUAACGCUUGAAUACAUUAGCAUGGAAUAAUGAAAUAGGACGUUCGAUCCUAUUUUGUUGGUUUCUAGGAUUGACGUAAUGAUUAAUA
Molecule: ribosomal RNA, 190 nt
Filed under: uncultured Glomeromycotina
Lineage: Eukaryota; Fungi; Glomeromycota
Description: partial 18S ribosomal RNA
Rfam family: Eukaryotic small subunit ribosomal RNA
Source: RNAcentral